RNAcentral lists this ribosomal RNA (438 nucleotides) under uncultured bacterium. RNAcentral's name for it is "partial 16S ribosomal RNA". It matches the Rfam family "Bacterial small subunit ribosomal RNA", at positions 29 to 507 of the family's 1533-position model. The record is from RNAcentral.
AACGAACGCUGGCGGCAUGCCUAACACAUGCCAGUCGAACGAGACCUUCGGGUCUAGUGGCGCACGGGUGCGUAACGCGUGGGAACCUGCCCUUAGGUUCGGAAUAACUCCCCGAAAGGGGUGCUAAUACCGGAUAAUGUCUUCGGACCAAAGAUUUAUCGCCUUUGGAUGGGCCCGCGUUGGAUUAGCUAGUUGGUAGGGUAAAAGCCUACCAAGGCGACGAUCCAUAGCUGGUCUGAGAGGAUGAUCAGCCACACUGGGACAGAGACACGGCCCAGACGGGAAGGGGGGGCAGAAGGGAGGAAUGUGGCACAGUGGGCGGAAGGCGGGUGCAAGCACGCCGCGGGCGGGAUGACUGGCUGCGGGUGGUAAACCGCUUGCGCCUGUGACGGAGCGAGAGGGACGGUAAAGGGUAAAGAAGCACCGGCUAACUACGUG